Molecule: long non-coding RNA, 2441 nt
Filed under: Sus scrofa (pig)
Lineage: Eukaryota; Metazoa; Chordata; Mammalia; Artiodactyla; Suidae
Description: lncRNA (ENSSSCG00015047765.1)
Source: RNAcentral
UUUUUUUUUUUGGUGGUGGUGGUGUUGUCUUUUUUGUCUCUUUAGGGCCGCACCCGUGGCAUAUGGAGGUUCCCAGGCUAGUGGUCAAACUGGAGCUGCAGCUGGAGUCUAUGUCACAGCCACAGGAACACUGGAUCCAAGCAGCAUCAGCAACCUACACAGCAGCUUUCCUCAAUGCCAGAUCCUUAACUCACUGAACUAGGUUAGAGGUGGAACCCACAUCCUCACAGACACCGUGUCAGGCCCUUAACCUGCUGAGCCACAACAGGAACUGACUGUAUUUUCUUACAAAGGCAUAACCAAGUGCUUUACAGGAACUAAGAAAAAAAGUCUGCAAAUAGGUAAUGUAACAUUUCAUUACUGAGAAAUGUGCACAGGACUACCUAUCACAAACCAGUGAAUGUCAGUGGAGGCAAGAGAAAUUGCCUGACUCUCAGAAAAGCUGAGAGACAUUACAAAGCAAUAACUGGCUUCUGGGCCAAUUCAUAAGGAGUUGUUACUUCUUUCUUAGUGGUACAUAAAGUAAUGGUGAACUUGCCAUUAAUAGAAUCCUAAAUAUAUCUUUUUCAUCAGGGUUAAGUAUUAAGUAAACCUUGAUAAGAGUUUGGAGUAAUAUGUAUUGCACUUAGGACUCACACACAUAAACUUCAUCUUCUUCAAGACCCGCAGGCCCUCAAACCCUCAAAGCCAUAAAACACACGUCCAAUCUUGGAAACCAUCUGAAGUGACAUUCUGCAACACAUAUGUAUGCUUAGCCAGCUACAUGGGGGAUUGUGUGUCACCUUUCCUACCUUCAAGCCUAGAAAGCUUCUAGAAAACAGGUCCAGGUCAUCAAUCGGGUUUGCUCACUUAAUGGAGGAGAUGAGCAGAACAUAUCCAGCCCACAGGCUAGCCUAAAACACAGCCUGGAAGAGCAUUAGGUGCUACGAGUGAAUGCUCCAAUCUCACAAAUCAAUAAAUCACUCUUAUUCCUGGGCAGAAGGCGCUGCUCGAGCUCAAAGGGAUGCAGAAGGAGCCGGAGGAGGGCUUCCAGGGUGACCCUGGGACAAGCGACUAGUACAACUAGCAAGUGGCUAUCUUCCAGCCAAACACCUAGUACGAAGGCGGCUACUUGAGAGCAUGCCUCAAGCCCCCCGUCUGUCUUACUUCCCUCAGCCUUUCGGCUCUUGACCAAGAUUUAGGACGAGACAGGGACGUACGCGUUUGCACGCUCCACACCCUGCGCCCCGCGCCCCGCGCCAAUCCCGGGCUGGCGGCUGCCCUUCGAGCGCUGGAACCCGGCCCCGCCCCCCGCAGCCUUGCGACCACCCUCCUGUGCAUCAGCCCCACACCUUCUCAUCAGCCGUCCUGAGGUGGAGGCAGUGGAAAGAGGGCAAAGCCAAGGUCCCCCGAGUACACAAGCAUCAUUCCGAAAGCAGGUCCUGGGACCAAGAUGGACGACAAGCGUCGCUGCGCCAAGGUGCCCAUCACGUGGUAGGCGAGCGCUGCGUGAAAACCGAGGCGCCGGCGCAGGAGGUUAGGACCCCCUGGACCUGCAGCACUGCAACCCGGAGGAUGGCAAGGCCUGGCCCAAGGCUGUUUCCGGGAGGACGAGGAUGACUCCGCAACCAGGAGUACCGACUCUGAAUAAACUUACAAAUUUUACCAAAGGAAAAACCACAAACAGAACAAAACAAACAAAAAACAGAAACAACAGUUCUGGAGGCCAGAAGUCUAAAAUCAAGGUGCGAGUUCCCUUGUGACGCAGCCAGUUAAGGAUCCAGAAGCUGGGUCGCUGGGGUUGGGGGGGGAACUUCCACGUGCAGGGGCGGGCCAAAAAGAAAAAAUAAAUUAAAAAGUAAAAUAACAUUUUAAAAGGUGUUGUCAGCAUCGAUAUCUUAUGGAAGCUCUAUGAAUCCCUUACCUCUUUUCUAUUUUUGAUGGUUAAUGCAGUCCUUAGCCUUCUUUGACUCAUACUUGCAUAACUUGCCUCUGCCUCCAUCUUCACCUGGCUUCCCCCUGUAUCUCUGUGUCAAAUCUCCCUUCGCUUUCUCUUUGUAUACCAGUCAUUGGGUUUAUAAGGCCACCUAAAUCUGGGAUUAUCUCAUCCCAAAAUCCUUAUUCUAAUUACAUGUGCAAAGAUCCUAUUUCCAAAUAAUGUCACAUUCAUAGGUACUAAAGGUUAAGACUUGAACAGAUCUUUGGGGAAAUACUAAACAAUCUUUAUGAAAGCUUGAGAACAAGGAUUUUCCUCCUACUUCUCCUUUAUUCCAGGAACUGUGCCAGGCACCAAAAAUCCAUAAAUGAGGAGUAUCAGUGCAGUCCCUGUCCUCGUGCCUAGAGUCCAUUCUUCACCUUCUACACUGCCAAGGCCCUAUUUGAAUGGUCUCCUACUUUUUCUCCCAGCCUCCAGUCUAACUGAUCUGAAAUACAACAAAACACAGCAAAACCCUAUACUAACC